ACACACAAACUCACACGACCUUCUAGCAGAAGCUCCAAGCUAAUAAAGUGAAAGUAAAGGGUCACAGAGGAGCCUGGAGCCUAUCCCAGGGAACUCAGGGCACAAGGUGGGAGACACCUUGGCACAGGGUGCCAACGCAUCGCAGGGUACAAUCCCACACAUUCACACACUAUGGACAAUUUGGAAACGGCAAUCAACCUACAGCAAAUGUCUUUGGAAUGGGGGAGGAAACAGGAGUACCUGGAGGAAACCCCCGAAGCAUGAGGAGAACAUAGGGCAGAGGGGGGAUUCAAGCCCCAACCCCAGAGGGAUGACAUUUAAAAAGAUCACUGAAUGAGUGCAAGGAACUCAUUUAAAUAGUGUGAAAGAGAGAAGAAGAAGAAAAGUGGAAAGAUUGGAAGGGAAGAAGAAGCAGGUAAAAUGGCUGGUUAAUGCAUACGCAUGACUAAUAUCUCUCUCUGCAGGUGCCUCAGUC
This is a long non-coding RNA of Ictalurus punctatus (channel catfish), 475 nucleotides long. The record is from Ensembl. NCBI's taxonomy places the organism in Eukaryota, Metazoa, Chordata, Actinopteri, Siluriformes, Ictaluridae.